UGCAUGGCUGUCGUCAGCUCGUGCCGUAAGGUAUUGGGUUAAGUCCCGCAACAAGCACAACCCUCGUGUUUAGUUGCCACGUUGAGUUUGGAACCCUGAACAGACGGAGACUAGCUAAAGGAGACUAGCUAAGAGACUAGCCAAUAUG
RNAcentral lists this non-coding RNA (148 nucleotides) under Ipomoea nil (Japanese morning glory). Its description in RNAcentral is "Bacterial small subunit ribosomal RNA". It matches the Rfam family "Bacterial small subunit ribosomal RNA", at positions 1042 to 1197 of the family's 1533-position model. Lineage: Eukaryota; Viridiplantae; Streptophyta; Magnoliopsida; Solanales; Convolvulaceae. The record is from Rfam by way of RNAcentral.